RNAcentral lists this ribosomal RNA (628 nucleotides) under Sinningia incarnata. RNAcentral describes it as "eukaryotic LSU rRNA". The stretch from base 241 to 396 matches the Rfam family "5.8S ribosomal RNA". The record is from RNAcentral. Lineage: Eukaryota; Viridiplantae; Streptophyta; Magnoliopsida; Lamiales; Gesneriaceae.
UCGAUACCUCUAAAGUAAACCCGCGAACUUGUUCUUAACAUGCUUGGGUUUGCGCCACUGGAUGCCUUGGUGUACCUUGUCGUUCUCCCACCCCGAUGACUCAUGCGUGCGUGGUUCUUCGGGUUAAUGAACAUCCCGGCGCGGCAAGCGCCAAGGAAAACUAUCACGAGAGUGUUUGCUCCCACGAGGCAUCCUUUAUGUUGCAUCGUUUGGUUGCAAGUGCUUGUUGAAUUACUAAAUGACUCUCGGCAACGGAUAUCUCGGCUCUCGCAUCGAUGAAGAACGUAGCGAAAUGCGAUACUUGGUGUGAAUUGCAGAAUCCCGUGAACCAUCGAGUUUUUGAACGCAAGUUGCGCCCGAAGCCAUUAGGUUGAGGGCACGUCUGCCUGGGUGUCACGCAUUGCGUCGCCCCCUCCCAUCCCUCUUUACCCAUGUUAAAGUGGGGGUGGAGUUGAGGGGGCGGACAUUGGCCUCCCGUGCUGUUCUUGUGCGGCUGGCCUAAAUUUGAUUCAUUGUCGACAAAUGUCACAACUAGUGGUGGUUGAAUCAAUCGCGUGCUGUUGUGAGAUACAAUUGUCGCAUCGUGGACAUUAUUAUUUUGACCCAACAAUGCCAAGUGCUUUCGACU